UACGUAGGGUGCGAGCGUUAAUCGGAAUUACUGGGCGUAAAGCGUGCGCAGGCGGUUCGUUGUGUCGGCGGUGAAAGCCCCGGGCUUAACCUGGGAAUGGCCGUCGAAACUGGCGAACUGGAGUGUGGCAGAGGGGGGUGGAAUUCCGCGUGUAGCAGUGAAAUGCGUAGAGAUGCGGAGGAACACCGAUGGCGAAGGCAGCCCCCUGGCUGACACUGACGCUCAGGCACGAAAGCGUGGGGAGCAAACAGG
RNAcentral lists this ribosomal RNA (252 nucleotides) under uncultured bacterium. RNAcentral's name for it is "partial 16S ribosomal RNA". It matches the Rfam family "Bacterial small subunit ribosomal RNA", at positions 524 to 776 of the family's 1533-position model. The record is from RNAcentral.